Molecule: long non-coding RNA, 491 nt
Filed under: Homo sapiens (human)
Lineage: Eukaryota; Metazoa; Chordata; Mammalia; Primates; Hominidae
Description: non-protein coding lnc-PTPN20-3:2
Source: RNAcentral
AGAGGAAACACAGGCUCAGAUAGGAUAUAAAUUGCCCAUAUCACAAAAUUAGUAAGUGAUGGAGCUAGAAUACAAACAAGAUCUGCCUAUUUACACAAAUCAAUAAUUUUUCCUCUAUAGCAUGUUGUCAUUACAUGCCUUUGGUUUUUAAGUGAAAUGCCUACCCUUCUGUCCCCUAGUGACUUCAUCCUGUUCCCUACUUCUCAAGACUACUCCUCUUCUUGGACACUUUUUCAUAUUCCAGAACUAACCAUUCUGUUUCAUUUUUUUCUGCUCAUCAUGCAAAGUUAGCAGGGCAGCUGAAAUAAAGGAAUUCAUACUAAAAAAUGGCAUGCUCAGUUUGUAAAAUUUUCCAGAGUUAAAUAGGUAGAGUGAAAUGCGCAAUUUCUUCUUUGAAGAAAACAAUGUUGAAUUUUACUUAAAUGAAUGAUAAAUAUAAUUUUGACAUGUAUUUGUGAUCUGUAUGAGUAAUAUCAUAUCCUAUCCUGCUU